GCCGGCGUAGCCCAAUCGGCAGAGGCCCGGGCCUUAAAACCCCGACCAGUGCGGGUUCGAGUCCCGCCGCCGGCA
RNAcentral lists this transfer RNA (75 nucleotides) under Chloroflexota bacterium. RNAcentral describes it as "tRNA-Leu". It matches the Rfam family "tRNA". Rfam says of the family: Transfer RNA (tRNA) molecules are approximately 80 nucleotides in length. Their secondary structure includes four short double-helical elements and three loops (D, anti-codon, and T loops). Further hydrogen bonds mediate the characteristic L-shaped molecular structure. tRNAs have two regions of fundamental functional importance: the anti-codon, which is responsible for specific mRNA codon recognition, and the 3' end, to which the tRNAs corresponding amino acid is attached (by aminoacyl-tRNA synthetases). tRNAs cope with the degeneracy of the genetic code in two manners: having more than one tRNA (with a specific anti-codon) for a particular amino acid; and 'wobble' base-pairing, i.e. permitting non-standard base-pairing at the 3rd anti-codon position. Lineage: Bacteria; Bacillati; Chloroflexota. The record is from RNAcentral.